CGCUCCCCGAAAUACUAUAAACAUGGGGAGUCCUGCCUGCCCAGUGACUAGAGGUUAAACGGCCGCGGUAUCUUGACCGUGCGAAGGUAGCAUAAUCAUUUGUCUCCUAAAUAGAGACUAGUAUGAAUGGCAAGACGGAACUAAGCUGUCUCUUUUUUACGACUCUGAAUUUCACCUCCUCGUGAAGAGGCGAGGAUAAAAUCGUUAGACGAGAAGACCCUGUCGAGCUUACAGCAAAAGUUAAGCCUCUAAUUCAUUUACUCUCUACUAAUCAAUAAACUUAUAAAAGGGUAAGUUCUUAAAAGACUUUACUAAGCUUUGGUUGGGGCAACCGCGGAGAAAAAUAACCCUCCGCUAAUAAAAAAUUUUACAAAGAACUACAAUUCUAUAAUCAAGAAUGAAAGUAUGAUCCACUAAGGUGAUCAAAGGAACAAGUUACCGCAGGGAUAACAGCGUUAUCUUUUCUGAGAGUUCACAUUGACGAAAAGGUUUGCGACCUCGAUGUUGGAUCGGGACAUCCUAAGGGUGCAGAAGCUUUUAAGGGUUGGUCUGUUCGACCAUUAAAGUCCUACGUGAUCUGAGUUCAGACCGGCGAAAGC
This 599-nucleotide ribosomal RNA is filed under the name Heliocidaris erythrogramma. RNAcentral's name for it is "partial 16S ribosomal RNA". It matches the Rfam family "Bacterial large subunit ribosomal RNA", at positions 1816 to 2626 of the family's 2925-position model. Lineage: Eukaryota; Metazoa; Echinodermata; Echinoidea; Camarodonta; Echinometridae. The record is from RNAcentral.